CCUACGGGUGGCAGCAGUGGGGAAUAUUGGACAAUGGGGGAAACCCUGAUCCAGCGACGCCGCGUGAGUGAAGAAGUAUUUCGGUACGUAAAGCUCUAUCAGCAGGGAAGAAAAUGACGGUACCUGACUAAGAAGCCCCGGCUAACUACGUGCCAGCAGCCGCGGUAAUACGUAGGGGGCAAGCGUUAUCCGGAUUUACUGGGUGUAAAGUGAGCGUAGACGGGAGAGCAAGUCUGGAGUGAAAUGCCGCGGCCCAACCCCGGAACUGCUAUGGAAACUGAGUAGCUUGAGUGCAGGAGAGGUAAGCGGAAUUCCUGGUGUAGCGGUGAAAUGCGUAGAUAUCAGGAGGAACACCGGCGGCGAAGGCGGCUUACUGGACUGUAACUGACGUUGAGGCUCGAAGGCGUGGGGAGCAAACAGGAUUAGAUACCCCUGUAGUC
This 440-nucleotide ribosomal RNA is filed under the name uncultured bacterium. RNAcentral's name for it is "partial 16S ribosomal RNA". It matches the Rfam family "Bacterial small subunit ribosomal RNA", at positions 338 to 795 of the family's 1533-position model. The record is from RNAcentral.